Xyrauchen texanus (razorback sucker) is the source of this 5471-nucleotide RNA transcript. It is a transcript of the gene named E3 ubiquitin-protein ligase pellino homolog 2-like, with no coding region annotated. The record is from RefSeq and is a predicted model, not a curated record. The transcript is spliced from 7 exons. NCBI's taxonomy places the organism in Eukaryota, Metazoa, Chordata, Actinopteri, Cypriniformes, Catostomidae.
UAUGCGCUAUCCUUUAAUGAAAUGUCUCCGAGAGACAAGCCUUUAAUUUCAAAAUCUCUGUCGGAUGUAGGGUUUUACUGAUUUUUUUCUUUUCAGAAAAUUGCGACGCAAUAUUGGGAGUGGAUAAACGGAUAAAAUGGCAGUUGAGAGCUUCCUUUGAAGUGUUUUCCCUUUUUUGUGGCUGGAUUGAUCGUGUAAUUGAGAGUGAGAGGCGCUGUGUUGUUUGAAAAGCCUCAUGUUUUCACCGGGUCAAGAGGAGCACUGUGCGCCCACCAAAGAGCCUGUAAAAUACGGCGAACUGGUGGUUCUGGGGUACAAUGGAUCACUCCCCAAUGGAGACAGAGGGCGGCGGAAAAGCCGGUUUGCCCUUUACAAGAGAGCCAAAGCCAAUGGUGUUAAACCUAGCACUGUACACAUUCUUAACACACCACAAGCCUGCAAGGCAGUGAACUGUAAGGGCCAGCACAGCAUCUCCUACACACUGUCCAGAAACCAGACAGUGGUGGUGGAGUACAGCCAUGACAAAGACACAGACAUGUUUCAGAUCGGACGAUCGACUGAGGGCCCCAUUGACUUUGUGGUGACAGACACGGUGUCAGGGGGCGGGGAGAGCGAAGACACUCCUAUCACUCAAAGCACCAUCUCCCGCUUUGCCUGCCGCGUGGUGUGUGAACGUAACCCACCCUACACAGCGCGCAUCUACGCCGCAGGCUUUGAUUCCUCCAAAAAUAUAUUCCUCGGAGAGAAAGCAGCCAAGUGGAAGAAUCCGGAUGGUCAUAUGGAUGGGCUGACAACCAAUGGUGUGCUAGUCAUGCACCCACGGGGCGGGUUCACCAAGGAGUCCAAACCCGGUGUGUGGAGGGAGAUAUCAGUGUGUGGAGAUGCUUACACGCUGAGAGAUACACGAUCCGCUCAAACUCGAGGCAAACUGGUGGAGAACGAGAGUAAUGUACUGCAGGAUGGGUCUCUGGUUGACCUCUGUGGAGCCACACUGCUCUGGCGCACAGCUGAUGGGCUUUUCCACACCCCCACUCAGAAGCACCUGGAGGCCUUGCGGCAGGAGCUGAAUGCUGCCCGACCUCAGUGUCCCGUGGGCCUCAACACCCUGGCAUUUCCCAGCAUGCAGCGCUGUAGCCGUUCCCUGACUAGCGGCCCCUCUCAGGAGGACAAGCAGCCCUGGGUCUACCUGGCCUGUGGCCACGUUCACGGCUACCACGACUGGGGCCACCGCUCUGAGCAAGACCCCAAUGCUCAGAGAGAGUGUCCAAUGUGUAGAGCUGUGGGCCCCUACGUACCACUCUGGCUUGGGUGUGAACCAGCCUUUUAUGUGGAUACGGGUGCACCAACAUAUGCCUUCGUACCCUGUGGCCAUGUGUGCUCUGAAAAGUCAGCCCGCUAUUGGGCGGAAAUUCCUUUACCGCACGGAACCCACGCUUUCCAUGCCGCAUGCCCGUUUUGUGCAACCCAACUCAAUCUGACACAAAAGUGGGCCAAGUUGAUCUUUCAGGGGCCUGUUGACUGAGGCUGAGAAUGUAGGGGACGCCAAGCUGAACGAGUGGACACUGGAUUGUUGCGUAUUUGAAAGUCCAUUAUACUGAAAGAGGAUUGAAAGAGGUUGUGACUUACAACCAAUUCAUGCCGCAAGCUGUGAAUCUGCCCUUGAAACGCUUAUACUGGAGAGCAGGGUUUUGCUCUGAUGUUGUCAAAGGUGCCUUUGCGAUUGACACAAGUUGUCCUUCAUGAUUUGCCGACAAUGAGUUGUUGUUUUUCUUCCAUUCCAAAAGUUCACCAGCAUUACCAAAUUACUCAGGAUAUUUCUGAUGCAUUUGUAAAAGAGAUCCUUAACGGCUGCUUCAUCCAGCUCUUGCUGAUCACUGUUCUGGAAGGUCACCACUAACAGGACUUGAACAUCCCUGCUUUAGGUUUUAACAGGCGACCAUUUCAAUGUGUACUGUGUGGGAACACCCAAAGGUCUGAAUCAGAUAUCCCAAAUUCCACAAGCGUCUUCAAGUAAGGAUAUGGUGGAGUAUAGAUGUGGAACUGCGAUACUAAAAUGGUUGUUUCCAAAGAUUAAAAUGGUGCUCCUGUUGUGAUUUUAUGGCAUGAAGAUCUAUCAACAGCUAUUCACAGUUUUGUGGAAUUGACCCUGUGGAUGCUUGCUUUUCCAAUGGAUUGUGCAUUAUGAAAUUAGAUAAGUGAAUUCUAGUUUUAUUUUUGUCUUCCAUGUUCACUAUGGAGCCCCUUAGAGGACAGGGAGGGAAUUUACUUUCUGAUGUAUUUCUGCAAUAGUUUGCAUUCCUUAACAAAAAUAUUUGCAUUCAGUACUUGGACACAUAAAAAAACGAGUAAUCAGUUACUUGAAAUUAAGAAUUUAACUAACGACAUCUAGAAGCAAAAAUGCCACAACAACAACAAAAAAAAAAGCGAACAUUUGCAGUAACACAUAAACAUACGUUCCCAGUCUUCUGAAGCAAUAGUCACUUUAAACCAUGACAGAAUUGACUUCUGGGGUGAAUGAUUCCUUUUACUAGUGUCACAUUUCCACAGUGGCACCAAUUCAUCUUUGCAUCUCUGUUACACUAAGUAGUGUAACACUUUACAAUUUUCAUUUUGGGGUGAAAUAGUCCUUUUUAAGGUGUAAUAUCAAAAAAGCAGUUUAAUUGUUGCCCACAAAAGUUGCCCGGAAAAUAAAAUUUGCAAUAUUUGAGUAGUGUUUAUACUAGCCGAAUAUUUAAAGCUGAACGUGUACUCGAUUAAUCGAUUGCUUGUGCACACCCAUAGUUUCACUACAGUUCGACAUGGUAUUUGUAGUAAAAGAAUAACCAUAAAAUAUACAAAGGUUUUACAGUAACCAUGACUGUUGUAACAAUGUCUGAAAACUUUGUUUUAAAUACCAUACAUGUACAACAAAUUAAACCUGGUGUUCGCAUUGUAAAAACUGUAUUAACCAUGUUCUUUUAGGCGAAAUGGGUGGUUUAAUUUUGGUUUUCCUGUGGGUUUAUUACAAAUAUAAUGGUUAAAAUAUGGUUCCAGUAGUAAAACCAUAGUACAUUUUCAUUGGGGAUAGACAAUGAUAUUGUGAGGGAAUGCAAAACGUGUUGCGAGAGAAACUUCUUGUGAGGAAUCAAGUUAUUGCGAGUUAAUGCAAACUAUUGUGAUGGAAUGCAAAACUAUUUAAGAAAUUACUUCCCUCCCUGUCCUCUUAGGGGUUCAAUAGUUAAACUACAUUGAUCCCUAAAAGUAUUUGGAAACAAAAAAUGUUUUUGCUCUGUACAUGGCCAAUUGAUGUUAUAUCUUUAAGGUUCAAGUGCAGAUUCAAAGCUUUGAUGUAAGGGUAUUUUUAUUUGUUAACCGGAUUAACAAAUGAUGUUGCCAAAUACUUUUGAAACAGGUUAUCAAGCUGGUAUUAUUUAAUACUUAUUGAAAAGAUUGUCCCAUAUAUUUUUUUUAGUACUAUUCAUUUCUAGCCACUUGUUAAUUGUCCACACGGUGAUUGUGUAUAAUCAGAGCUGAUGUGAGAUGUUUUAUUUUCCAUAUGUGCAGAGUGAUUUAGAUUGAAAUCAAACAUGUCAACUUGAUGGGUGUGGAGGUCUGAGGCUUAAAGUGAUAGUUCACCCAAAAAAAAAUUCUCUCAUGAUUUACUCGCCCUCUGGCAUCUCAAAUGUGAUGACUCUUCUCCAGAACACUAAUAAGACACGUACAACGCAAAUAUAUUUUUCGCCUCUCAUUGCUCGCAUGAAUUUGACCGCUGGAUUAUAAAUUUGUGUGUAAACUUGCGUUCAUGUGAGUAAUGCGACAUUUUCUGUGUUCGUGCACGGUUGAGUGCUCAGCCUCUCAAAGUACAUUUUAUUUUUUUGAUUGCAAGCCAAAACAAACACGUUUGACGCAUGCACACUAGAACUGCUUUGUGAUGCUCUUAGCACACACACCAGACACAUGUGCUGGCAACGUACAAAGAUGCGGACUGUCCACGUUUUUAGAAAAACAAGGCUGCACGCGGACGAUCUAUGAUUUCUGUCCCGAUGACAAAAUGAGCAUAUUGGCAUGUGGGAAACUGAAGUAAACUUAAGCCUUCACAGGAGGUCCGAGAGACAGUAAUCACUCUGUAACCAUAAUUGAUAUGUCUUUUAAUUUGUAAUUGGCAGAAAUUCCUCCUUCAGCUUGUUCGCUCAACUCUUGGUUGGUCAUGAAGGUGUUUUAUAAGCUUUAUGAGAUUUAAGAAACUUAUUCCACUAUUUUCCUAGUUUAUACAGAGACCGAUUCUCACAUCUAAUGACAUUUUUUGCUGGGGUGUUUUAGGCAUAUUGAAGGGGUAUUUUUUUAAUGACUCACAUUUGCUUUUUACUCACUGAAAAGGUAUUUUACUACACAAAAGCCCAUGUACAGUUGUUUUCUAAACAGAUCUACUAAUAUAUUCAAUUAUGAACUAUGUGGUAGGGUGUGUGAAUGUAUGAACAACAACAUCUUAUCAUAACGUUUCUAAAUGCAUUUGUCUGGAUUCUUUACACUGUCAGUAGGAAGCAGUCAUAUUUAUUUUGAUUCCAUUUCAAGUCUUUGAUCUCACUUCUGGUUACACUUGUUACCACAAAUUGACCCAAGAUCAGUACUCCCUACCACACUCAAUGUCCAUGUAUUUGUUAGACUUGAGUGUUAAAGAAACAUUGAAAUGUUGUCACUAUGGAUUACAUUUGUACAUGAAAGUUCUGUUUUAUAUUUUUCUCUAGAUUUAUUGUAUUAAUUUUGGAUGUACAGGCAGUUCUUGUGAUAUACAAUAUUCAAUGUUCCUUAAAGAAGAUUUGUUUUUACAUGCUACUCCCUUUUUAGAUAUAUGCAAACAUAUCAUUUGGGAAAUCAUCACCAAAAGUGAAAUACAUUGGUGAGCAGUAUAUUUCCUAAAGCAAUGCUACUGUCUGUUAACGAUGUUGCAUGUAUGAGGGUCUUCCAUGUGUUAACUAAAAAAAAAAAAAAUUGCCAAAAAGGAUUUAAUGAAAAGGCCUCUUAUUUAUUAAUUAUUGAGCGCAAUAAAAACUACACUACAGUGCUUUAGAGUUGUGAUGGAACAGAAGAUUUUUAGAACGUUUCUUUCUGACAUUUGUUAAACAACUAAGACUUUCACCUGCAGUCGUGACUGUUCAGUAUAUUUGAAGAACAGUGUCCUGUACCCAGGCAAACAAUCUUAUUGUCUUUUUUUUUUAGUUUUGUAGAAAAACAUACGCAUUGUUCUUUCCUAGUAUUUCUUAAGAAUUCGUCUUCUACAUAAUCUUUGCAUAAACUUACUCUUUAACCAGAAUAGACCCAGCUCUCAAAUACAGUCAAAACUACAGGGCUCAUGUCUGCAGCAUUUAGUGUGGAACUAUACAGUUCCUCUCGGUUUGAUUCAGGUAUUAUGAUUGAAUAAAGUUUCAUGAACUGAAGUUGCCUAUUUGUCUAUGGUCUUGGAAACGCAUCUGUGCACAAUGAAUAAAGUAAAA